Long non-coding RNA from Apis cerana (Asiatic honeybee), 1468 nucleotides. RefSeq lists it as uncharacterized. The record is from RefSeq and is a predicted model, not a curated record. NCBI's taxonomy places the organism in Eukaryota, Metazoa, Arthropoda, Insecta, Hymenoptera, Apidae.
ACAUAUAUUUAAAAAAAAAAUAAAUCAACGAUUACAUAUAUAAAAAUAAAUUACUCGACAUAUCUUUCACAAUAUAUUUUAUCGAAAUCCAUAAAGUGAUCUUUAUUAAAAAUAUUUUUUAAAUAUAUUUUUAAUCAAAUAUGCGGAUAUUUGAAAGCAAAACUUUCAAAAACAAUUAAAUUUAGAGUUUUGUAAAUCUAUAUAUCGUUAAAAAUAGAAAAAAGAAAAGAAUCAGUUAUUAUAUUUAUGAAAAAUAUUUUCAACAGUAAUCAUUUGAUCUUUAAAUUUAUUAUCAUUCAUAAAAAAUAAAAAAAAAAAAGAAGAAAAGAAAAAGAAAAAGAACUUAAUUGUCGCAUAUGAUCGAUCUUUUAAUCGUUCCGGUUAGAUACGAAACGAAACUACGCGGUUGGUGACCGAGCGAAAGGAGGGGAAUUCCCUCGUCCUCUCUUCUCUUGUUGCUCGGCCGACGGCCUUGAGAGGUCACUUUACUGGAACCGUUCGCUGAAUACCUGGCGAAGAAAGGAACUGGAACGUAGUAGAGGGAACUGGUAUUCCGACCAGGCAUGAUAAUAACGUCUCCGUAUUUCCAGCGAGUCGUCAUUUUCUCUUAGGCAAACGCGUAUCGCCUUGCUAAUUCACGCUCCACGUUUCAUCAUUCCCUUAUCAUUCGUCGAACACUUAUAUUUUUUAUCCUCUUCUUUUUUUCUCUUUUUUCCUUUUUGUUUUUAUCUUCUCCUUUCCUUUUUCUUUUUUCAUUCCUUUGAUUAUUCGUAUCGCAUACUUGAAUUUAAGAGACUUGUAUCGAGUAAAUGACGCGAAAUAUAUACUUGUGCUACGAUGCAGUGUAUACUGAGAUUGCGCGAAACUCGUUGGACUACAAGUUUUUCUCUUGAUUGUACAGCAAACCAACCUUCCAAGGACAUUACGAGACUACCAGUUGUCAGACAAAAUAGCUGGACUUCUUUUCCUUUCCAUUUCGAAGUCAUGGCGCGUAGAAAUGUGUCCGUGAUAUGUAGGUCGUCAAAAAAAAAAAAAAAAUGGGACGAAAGUUGACUGACGCAAAUAUGCUUCUGGCGAGAUAAAUCGUUUUACAUGAGUCUUUUUUUUUCAAUUUUUAUUUGUUUUUCUCUUAAAAGAAUGAAUGAUAAUCGGAAUGCGUGAAAUCUUUUGAAAUUGAAUAAAAAAAAUACAUCAUAAGUUUUUAAAUUCAGAUAUUUUGAUCGAUUUAUAAUACAUAAUUAUAUUAAAUUUUUGAAUAUGUAUUAUAUUUUAUGAAAGUGUAUAAGAAUGAAUAAUUAAUAAUGAGAAAUAACAUUCAUUACCUUCUUAUAUAGUCAUUAAACCAAUAAAUAAAAUUAUUUACUAUACAAUUUAAUAAUAAUAAAUACACGAACUAAUGUAAUAAAUACACGAUCUAUUAAUUUAUGUAUCAUGUUAUUAAUAAAGUUGAAGUUAUUAAAUUUUAAAA